Molecule: ribosomal RNA, 496 nt
Filed under: uncultured bacterium
Lineage: Bacteria
Description: partial 16S ribosomal RNA
Rfam family: Bacterial small subunit ribosomal RNA
Source: RNAcentral
GAUGAACGCUGGCGGCGUGCCUAAUACAUGCAAGUCGAGCGAACAGAUGAGGAGCUUGCUCCUCUGACGUUAGCGGCGGACGGGUGAGUAACACGUGGAUAACCUACCUAUAAGACUGGGAUAACUUCGGGAAACCGGAGCUAAUACCGGAUAAUAUAUUGAACCGCAUGGUUCAAUAGUGAAAGACGGUUUUGCUGUCACUUAUAGAUGGAUCCGCGCCGCAUUAGCUAGUUGGUAAGGUAACGGCUUACCAAGGCAACGAUGCGUAGCCGACCUGAGAGGGGAUCCGGCCAAACGGGAACUGGGACACGGCCCAGCCUCCUACGGAGGGCAGCGGUGGGGAUUCUUCCGCAAUGGGCGAAAGCCUGACGAAGCAACGCCGCGUGGGUGAUGAGGGUCUUCGGAUCGUAAAACUCUGUUAUUAGGAAAAAACAAAUGUGUAAGUAACUAUGCACGUCUUAACGGUACCUAAUCAGAAAGCCACGGCUAACUACGU